GACGAACGCUGGCGGCGUGCCUAAUACAUGCAAGUCGAACGCAUUUUCUUUCACCGUAGCUUGCUACACCGACAGAAAAUGCGUGGCGAACGGGUGAGUAACACGUGGGUAACCUGCCCAUCAGCGGGGGAUAACACUUGGAAACAGGUGCUAAUACCGCAUAAUUCCAUUUACCGCAUGGUAAAUGGAUGAAAGGCGCUUUUGCGUCACUGAUGGAUGGACCCGCGGUGCAUUAGCUAGUUGGUGGGGUAACGGCCUACCAAGGCUGCGAUGCAUAGCCGACCUGAGAGGGUGAUCGGCCACACUGGGACUGAGACACGGCCCAGACUCCUACGGGAGGCAGCAGUAGGGAAUCUUCGGCAAUGGACGCAAGUCUGAACGAGCAACGCCGCGUGAGGGAAGAAGGGUUUCGGAUCGUAAAACUCUGUUGUUAGAGAAGAACAAGGAUGAGAGUGGAAAGUUCAUCCCUUGACGGUAUCUAACCAGAAAGCCACGGCUAACUACGUG
This 507-nucleotide ribosomal RNA is filed under the name uncultured bacterium. RNAcentral describes it as "partial 16S ribosomal RNA". It matches the Rfam family "Bacterial small subunit ribosomal RNA", at positions 28 to 507 of the family's 1533-position model. The record is from RNAcentral.